AGUCUUUCAAGAAAAGUGAUUAAGAAGGGAAGGCAAAAGUGGCUACACUGAGACACAGGUUAUGUUUCCAUCAAAGCAGUGACAAUAAGACCCGUAACAAUU
This is a small nucleolar RNA of Panthera pardus (leopard), 102 nucleotides long. NCBI's taxonomy places the organism in Eukaryota, Metazoa, Chordata, Mammalia, Carnivora, Felidae. The record is from Ensembl.